UUUUUUUAGUUCAAUAUUUGUUGGAAUUGACACUUUAUAUCCAGAUAGAUCGUAUUUUGUAAAUUUGAAAUUCUUUCUUUUGUAUUCUUUAAUGACCAACAAUUGGAUUUCUUAAUUAAAUACUGAGAACUAGCCAAUUUAUCCUUUGCCAGUCAUUUUUUUUAUCAUCCUAAUAUCUUUCCCUCAAUUAUUCUAUUCCUGACUAUGGGUAAUCAAUGAAAUUUUUUCGAAAUAUUGGAUAUUUUGAUAGCAAAGGAGUUCUUUCGUCUCAAAAUCUCAAUU
Molecule: long non-coding RNA, 282 nt
Filed under: Solanum melongena (eggplant)
Lineage: Eukaryota; Viridiplantae; Streptophyta; Magnoliopsida; Solanales; Solanaceae
Description: long non-coding RNA (SMEL_LNC000221)
Source: RNAcentral